This 449-nucleotide ribosomal RNA is filed under the name uncultured bacterium. RNAcentral's name for it is "bacterial SSU rRNA". It matches the Rfam family "Bacterial small subunit ribosomal RNA", at positions 329 to 793 of the family's 1533-position model. The record is from RNAcentral.
GUCCAGACUCCUACGGGAGGCAGCAGUGGGGGAUAUUGCACAAUGGGGGAAACCCUGAUGCAGCGACGCCGCGUGGGUGAAGAAGCGCCUCGGCGCGUAAAGCCCUGUCAGCAGGGAAGAAAAUGACGGUACCUGAAGAAGAAGCCCCGGCUAACUACGUGCCAGCAGCCGCGGUAAUACGUAGGGGGCAAGCGUUAUCCGGAUUUACUGGGUGUAAAGGGGGCGCAGACGGCGAUGCAAGCCAGGAGUGAAAGCCCGGGGCCCAACCCCGGGACUGCUCUUGGAACUGCGUGGCUGGAGUGCAGGAGGGGCAGGCGGAAUUCCUGGUGUAGCGGUGAAAUGCGUAGAUAUCGAGAGGAACACUCGUGGCGAAGGCGGGUUCCUGGACAUUAACUGACGCUGAGGCACGAAGGCCAGGGGAGCGAAAGGGAUUAGAUACCCCGGUAAAG